RNAcentral lists this non-coding RNA (165 nucleotides) under uncultured Rhizobium sp. Lineage: Bacteria; Pseudomonadati; Pseudomonadota; Alphaproteobacteria; Hyphomicrobiales; Rhizobiaceae. The record is from RNAcentral.
GAAUCGGUUGGAGAAUUGGGAAGCCGGUGAGAUGCCGGCGCUGCCCCCGCAACGGUAGCAGAGCGAAGAAGGCGACGAAAACCACUGGGCCGCAGGGCCUGGGAAGGUGUCGCCGGAUCCGGGAAACCGGAAGGCUCUGGAGCCCGGAAACCAGCCACGGAUCGA